Molecule: long non-coding RNA, 940 nt
Organism: Oryzias melastigma (Indian medaka)
Lineage: Eukaryota; Metazoa; Chordata; Actinopteri; Beloniformes; Adrianichthyidae
Exons: 4
Source: RefSeq, a predicted model, not a curated record
CUUGCUGUGAGUUGUCGGAAGAAGCAUUGAGUGAUGGGAGAAACGUUUGUUCUUCGGUUUCUGGCGCUGAUGUUUGGAUAUUGAAUCAGUGAACUAACGUGAGUGCCUGUUUAGUUUAAUAUCAUUUGUGGUGGCCUUUGAUUUCCAUGUUAGCGGGGGAGCACUGUAGCCGAGUUAGCCCGCCGUCGUUCUCCUGCGGAAAUGCGCCUCGUUAAACUGAUUGCACACCGCGUUCAAACCGGUACUUUCAAUGAAACGUCCGUCGAUUUUGAGCUUCUGUUAUCACAACGAAAUCUGACCGCGAGCUGACAUGAGGGAGAAGAAUGUGUAUUUUAUCAUUAUACUUUGGUAGACUCGGUGCAUUGUUUACUUGUAAUUCUCAUCUUUAACAAAGCAUAUAAAGCAGUGGAUGCAACUCAGAAAUGUCCAUAUACAUUUAUUUAUUUAUGCAUUUAAUAUUGCAGAUCAUCACCACCCAGGCAGGUGAAAGAAAUCUACGCCGGGGGAUUUGUGGUCUUCUUUUCAAUCUGAGUGACCUGUCAGGGAGCAUUCACUUCUCCAGGACCGGUCAUGACCGUUACUGAUGGUGAGAGUGGCACAAGCUACCUGCCAUGGAGGAUUAAAAACUACUCAGCAAUCUGAAGCAGGAAGCAGAUGAGCAUCACACAGAGGUUGGAACAAACAUCGUGGAAUACCUCCAGGGGGUGGAGUCCAGGCCCUAUCCAUCGGUUCUGGCCCUUGGACAAGUGACGCAAAAUUCUUUACAAGCUUUUGCUGUGAUGGCUGGUCAGUGUGCCUCUUCAUGGGAGUUCCUCCAGAAAGUGGUUUAUGACAUGGAGGGACCAGAAUCUAACGAAGUUAAGUUUUUAAAGACUGUCUUAAAGAAUGUGAAGGUGUUUAAAAAAAAUCUGAGUUCAUAAUAGUUUAUGAAAAAAAAAAA